This is a long non-coding RNA of Rhagoletis zephyria (snowberry fruit fly), 379 nucleotides long. RefSeq lists it as uncharacterized. Lineage: Eukaryota; Metazoa; Arthropoda; Insecta; Diptera; Tephritidae. The record is from RefSeq and is a predicted model, not a curated record.
GUGCUGUGUAGAUAUAAACUGGGAGUUUGUAAACCGGGUCGUUUCGUAUGUGUUCAUACACAAAGUACAAUGGUAGAGUUAAAAUUUAUUUUUAAUACACUAGUGAUAUUUUGAGCAAUCCUGUACUAAAUUCGGAAAACCCCAUUGAUGUCCACUGUGAUCGAAAAUUCCGCUGCUACAAUAGAACCCGCAUAUAAAAAUGUAUUGUGCAAAUGAAUAUUUAACAUUUUUCAAGCGAAUAAACGCAAAUGAAAGUUGUGAUUUUUGGCGAUUUUUCUAAGGGUCCCUAGGGAACCACAGGGGACCUAGGCGGUCGGGGGUUGCAUUUUUGUCAAUGGCGGUUCAUUCCCUCUCCAAAAAGAUCGAAAAUGCAACAGGC